RNAcentral lists this ribosomal RNA (230 nucleotides) under uncultured Alicycliphilus sp. RNAcentral's name for it is "partial 16S ribosomal RNA". It matches the Rfam family "Bacterial small subunit ribosomal RNA", at positions 550 to 774 of the family's 1533-position model. The record is from RNAcentral. Lineage: Bacteria; Pseudomonadati; Pseudomonadota; Betaproteobacteria; Burkholderiales; Comamonadaceae.
AGCUGAUCAUUGGGUGUAAAGUGUGCGCAGGCGGUUUUGUAAGACAGAGGUGAAAUCCCCGGGCUCAACCUGGGAACUGCCUUUGUGACUGCAAGGCUGGAGUGCGGCAGAGGGGGAUGGAAUUCCGCGUGUAGCAGUGAAAUGCGUAGAUAUGCGGAGGAACACCGAUGGCGAAGGCAAUCCCCUGGGUCUGCACUGACGCUCAUGCACGAAAGCGUGGGGAGCAAACA